This 9576-nucleotide long non-coding RNA is filed under the name Vitis vinifera (wine grape). RNAcentral's name for it is "long non-coding RNA (VVIN_LNC005545)". Lineage: Eukaryota; Viridiplantae; Streptophyta; Magnoliopsida; Vitales; Vitaceae. The record is from RNAcentral.
AGAGCAUGACCUUAGUGCCUCGAUUUUGGCAGUUUCUUAUGCCGUUACUGACGGAGGUGCAGCCAUUGGAAGCAGAGUUGCAAUGGCCUGCAAGGUUGAUUGCAGGGGUCCGGCCAUUGCCGAACUUGUUGAGGAAGGCUAUGUUAACGUAGGAGUAUUUGCCGGUGUUGCAGGUUUGAGUUAGGGUCCCUUCAUUGCCGUUUUGGCCCCAGUAGAUGGCGAUGCCACCGGCAUAAGAGGUCUGGAGGAAAGCUAGGACUGAGAGGGAGAUGAGCAGAGGUAUGGAUUGAGGGGUUCUAGCCAUUCUUGAAAGAGCUGGUGUGGCCUGUGCUUGAUUAAUGUGUGUGGGGGUGAGUCCUUUUUAUAGAGUUCUAGAGUUGAAGGUCGUGACUCCCAAACUUUAACCGAGUCAUGUCUUUUCUCGUUGGCUCUAUAAAUAUUAACAAAUAAUAAGAUUGAGAGAAGCUUCAAGACGAUAUUAAAAUGUUAUGAUAAUUGAGAUGGGCUUCUAGAGACAGAUAAAUGGAAUGGAGGAAGAGUGGGAGACAACCAACAUAGGAUACAAGAUAAAUAUUAACAAAUUACGGGAUUGAGAUAAGCUAGUAAAGAAGAUAUUAAAAUGUUAUGAUAGUGAGAUGAGCUUUCAGAGAUAGAUAAAUGUCGAUGGAGGAGUGGGAGACAAUCAACGUAGGCUAGAAGUUUCCCUUGAAUGUUGGACAUUUUCAGGACCUCACCAGUCUUUUGGCACGAGUCGAACUCCAUAAAAAACUCGAAAAUCCAUUAGCCGUUUGAUAAUAUUUUUACUUCAAGUGGUUUUAAUAAAAAUAUUUUCCUUUAAAGUGUAUUUAUUAGAAUCAUCUAAAUAUUUAUUAAAAAAAACUAUAUUUUUUAAAAUUUUAAAAAUAUUUCUUAAAUUUUAUCCAACACCUAAUAAUGUUUUUUUUAGAAACAUUUUUUAAGGUAAAAAGGCUUCCUAUUUUUUGGCAAAUGUACUCAAGUUUUGUCACAUACGUGUAACUUUCUCAUCUUAUAGUCAAAGGAAUCCAGUUGAGUGCUUGAGAGACUUGGUUGAGCUGGGUGAAGCUGGUAGCUGGUUCCAUUGAAGUCGUCUCCACCGAGCCUUCAAUGCCACUGAAAAUGUGAGGAGUGGCAACUGGUGGGGCGCUUAUCUCUUGACUCUUGUCUUUCCCUAGUCUGAAGGAAACAUGAUUUGUUUAAGAAGAUAAGCAAAGCGAUUUGGUUGAUUGGGAGUCAAUGAUUCUGCUAAACUUCACAUAUAUGUGAAAGAAAGAUGACAAAGACAGGGCCUAGUUACUUGCCGGCCGGAUGCAAGGCAGUCAGCAAAGAGCACCAAAGACAGUUUACUGACGAUAAUGGCAUCAUAGUUCAAAUGGUUUCGAUUUUCAAUAAAUGAAAUGUAACAACCCUGUACAUGAGAUAGCUUUUACGUUCUAAAAAUACAUUUAUAUAGUUUCACAAUAACACCAUGAUAUCGUGUUUAGUAAGAUUGCAAGACCAUUUGGACAAACACCCACUAUAGGAUGGAUCGACUUUAAUAUAAUUUAUAAUGACCCUUACGGGAUGAAUUGACUCUGAUAUAAUUUAUAAUGAUCCAUUUUUUCAUAUGGAGUAGACAAAUUAUAUAGAAAAAAGAGCAAGUCAUUACACGAAAUGCUUAAAACCCGAGAACAGUUGUGUUAAUGGGGUUAAAUCCAAACAACAAACAUAUAGCAAAAGAGCUUUUAUGGUAGCAUAUAAAUAAAUGAAAGAAGAACCUGUUUAACUUGAUUUUCUUAGUAGAUAUGCUAGCAUAAUUUUUAUUAGAUCGAGGAAGAAGAAAACAAAAUUUCUAUAUAUAUGUAUUAUUUUGGGGCUCUUUUUUUCUUUCAUUCUAGUGGUUUGUAACGAUAUGAGUCCAUACUGUGUGCAGGGGAUCACCACCGCCACCGCCACCGCCACCGCCACCGCCACCGCCCAUAUAAUGUUUGUUGUUUGGAGAUAAAAAAAAAAAAGCCCGAACUGACUUAACCAUCGGAGGAGGAUAACUCGGGGCGACAUUGGGUAAGCCUUGAUUUGCAGAUAAAAACGUGCGGCAAGUAGAGGACUGCAGUUUGGGAAAUUCAGCUCCAACAUCCCAUACCAUCAAUUAGUUAUAUAUGAAUUUGUUUGGCUCAAAUUAUGGAAAAAAAAAAUUAUUUUAUUUCGUAGGCUAAUAAUGUAGAUGGUGAUGGACUCUUAAAAUAAUUAUUUAAUAAAAAAAUAAAAUUUAAAAAUAUUCUGAAACAUCUUCACAAUCAUCAAUGGUGGCAGAUGUUUUGUGAACCAACACAUGACUUUAAAUAUUGCUGACUCAGAUAAGGUUAAAAUAAUUUUUGGAUGCCAACAUUUUAUUUUUUAGAAAAUAGAUUUUUAUUUUUUAUUUAUUUUUUAUACUUUUUAAAUAUAUAGGGAUAGAAAUUAAUAUAUUUCAAAUAACUUUGGGGUUAAUCUAGGAAUGAUCUCGAUAAACAUUUUUUUAAUGUAUAAUAAUUUUUAUUAUAAUUUUUUUUUAUAGAAAAAUAGUUAGUGUUUCAUGGCAUAAAAAAAAAGAUUUUAAGAAUAUUUUUUAUAUUAUGUUGCAUAAAAGAAAAAUAAUUUUGGAAGAAACAUCAUUGAGUUAAUUCAAAAAUUACUCUUAGUGAUUAUUUGAAUUUUUAGAAGCAAUUUCUAAAAUAUUGCCUAACAUCUAAUUAUUGUAAGAAAAAAAAUUUUCAGACAUUAAAAAAUAUUUUUAAACUUGUGAUAUCUUGAACGGGUUAAUAACGGUUGGAGUUGGAUUUGGGUACUCAAGUAGGCUUUCCUAACCCAAUCUAACAAAUAAAGAGAUGAGGAGUUUCUCUCACUCUCUCCAAAACAAAAAAAUACCAGUAAAAAAACUCUCUUUAUAAUUUCAUCUUCUUUUUUUUUCUCCAUAAAAGAAGAUUAAAGCAUUUAUGAUGUGAAAUAGAGUGCUUUUAAAAUUUUUGUAAUUUCAUUCAUGACUUGGGGUAGAGAAUUCAUAGGUGAAACAAUAAAUUUAGAUUUGAGGACUUUAGAAGAUAAUUCGAUGCCUUUUUUUUUUUGACAAUAAAUUUUUCAUAUUUUUUCAAUAAAAAGUUUGAAAAAUAUAUAAAAUUUUAAAUAAAUUUUAUUAUAUUUAAUUUUCUCCAUAUUUUUAUAAUAAAUCAAAUAGAAGAACUUAAAUUACUUCUAACUUAUUUUUUGCAUUAGGUUUUGACCAUAUCAUAUGUGUUGGUGCAUGACCAACAAGGAGGUAUCCAACUAGUCUUUGUGUGGUGUAGACGACUUUUUGAACGGAAUGUCCAAAUGGGUUUUCGGAAUAAACCCCUUUGAAGCUUAAGUCAAAGAUAGAAGACUUGAGUAAGAGAUUUUUGGAAAAAGUUACAACAUAUCUUUCCUGUUAUGAAAAAUGAUUAUUUAUCAUUACUCAAAUGUAACAUCUUCUCAGGUGUCUUAAUUGUGUCUUUGACUAUGCGUUGAUGAGCUUUAAUACUUGACAUUUUAUUCUAAUAACAGUUGUGUCAAUCAAUACAUAAUGCAUUUAAUGCUUGUUACAGUUAAUGCUUGACAGACAAGAAUGCAUGGUACCUAACUGUUUGUAUCCGUUUGUACCUUGGGAUGAACGGAUAAUACCACAUGACUUUUGUGUUGAACAUGCCUUGCGUUAGAUGACACUUGGGGAUCAUGCUAGACGAUAAUAAGCGUUUCACAACACUUACAAUGUGAAAAACCCAUGAGUUCAUAAUAGCACAUGAUGCUCUUGUGGUUCAAACCUAUAACCAUGGUUCCAACUCAUGAGUCUAACUUAUGAUACUAAUUUUUGAAUCAAAUCAAGAUAUGCUAAGUCAAUUAUGAUAUUCAACCAUCAUUAUUUGAAUGAUCCAUUUCUAAGCUUAAGAGUGGUAUUAUUAUAACACAAUAAUGUUUUUUUUUAAAUACAUUAUAUGACACAAAUAGAAUAUUAGAUGAUCAAAAUCCAAUCUAAAAUUUUAGCAAAUUUACCACGGAGUAAAAAAGUGACUAGAAAUGGAAAAACAAUCUUAAUAACUAUGAUUAAACACUUGGAUGCAAACAAAUAAAAUAAGGAGAUGGAUGAUGAUUAUUACAAAAAGUUGGUAGAAAAUCACACCUUGUGCACUUAAUCCUCUAAUGGAUAUCAAAUAUAAUAAAAAGUGAGUUUCCUAAAAAGUUGUAUGAUUUUACACCUACUUGAGAAAAUUUGGGUGUUGUUUAGUAUUUUGGAGGUAACAUUUCUUUUUCAUCUUUUAUUUUUUAAUUCUUUAUGAUUUAUCUUGGCUAUUUGUGAUUGGUUAAUAAUUAGUGAACUAAAAGGAAAAUUUUUUCCUUCCAUAGUUUUUUUUAGCCUUUUUGAUGUGACGUAAUUAUUACUAUUUAGAAAUGGUUCCACAUAACACAUAAUAAUAAUAAUAAUAAAAAUAUUAUUAUUAUUGUUUUAUUAUUAAACUCAAUUAAAAAUAAAUUAUUAUUAUAUAAAAUUUUAAUUUUUUAUAAUGGAUGAACUUUUUAUGAUUAAGCUAUUAGAACUCUAUGAGAUCAAUAACAAACACUACUAUAUGUGCUAGUUGUUAUGAAAUAUUGUUUUCUUUAAUAGUUUUCAUUUAUAAAAUACUUAUUAAAAAGUGGACAUUGAUCCUUUUUAUCGGUGGAGGUAAGUGGACAUGGCAUCAUUCCUUUUGGAAGUGGUUUUUGACUUUUUAUAGCACGUGGCCAUAAAAAAAUAUUUUUAAAAUGAAGAGGAUAUGAUUUAAAAAUAUAGGAGAAUCAUUCCAACAGCUGGGUCAAAUCUUCUCACUUUAGAUAUUAUUGUUACGGUAUUUGAGACUGUCGGUGGUGCCGUCGGCGGGCGACGGAUGCCGGACAGGGGAUGUGGCCCGACGGAGAUCGGAGCCGAUGAUGGAAACGAGGAAGAAGACGACUGUGUGGUGGUUCUCACUUCUCAUGGGUAUCUCCAGUGGGAAGAAGGCUUGUUGAGGGCUUCCAAAUGGUAAAAAAAUUAAAAAAAUGGCGGCAGAAAUUUUGGUGCGGGUUAGUGAUAUUUCUAAGAUUUUUUUUUUAAUAAUUUAAUUUUUGUCACUUCGGAUAAAAAAAACAAUAAUAAUUUUUAUAUAAAGUUAAAAGACUUGAUUAUAAAAAACAUUUUAUUUUAUUAAUUUUUUCAAAAUUUAAAGUGAUUUUUAAAAACAUAAAUAAGUUUAUAUUUUUUAUAUAACAGUUUCCGUUUUUAAUAUAAAAAUUGUAACUAAUUUUUAUUUUGAAAAACGAAAAACAAAAAGUGUCAAAACAAUAUCUUAUGAGGAUAAUUUUCUAUUUUUUGUUUUGAGUGAAGUCUUAAAUCCUAUUUGGUAAUUAUUUUGAAAACAAUUUUAAAAAAUAAUUUUUGAGAACUAAUAUUUUAUAAGAAGUCUUUGAGAAGUUGAAAUAUUUUUAAUCUAUUUUAAUAUUUUUAAAUAUAUUUUAAAAAUAAUUUUUAUGUUUAAAGUUUUAUUUUAAGUCAUUAUGCAUAUUUGUACAAUUAUUUUUUAAAACAAUUUAAAAAAUGAAAAUAAUUAAAAAUAAUUAAAAGAUGUUAUUUGAAAACACCCCAUUUUAUCUUCUUAAGAGCAAAAAAUAGAAAAUAAUUUUUUAAUAGUCAAAUAUAUUUUUUAAUUUUUUAUUAUUUUAAAAAAUAAAAUAUUGAAAUCGAAAAUAGUUGCCAAACAUACCUUUCAAUUUUAAAAUUAUUGAAAAUAAUUUUUCUGGAUAUAAUUAUUUUUAAUUUUUAACAAAAAACCGAAAGUUUAUCCAAAUGAUUUUGUUUUUCCAAUUUUAUAAUAAACAAUCAAAUAAAAAAACAUUAAAUUUUUCCUUACCAAUUUCUUUGCCUUGAACUAUUUAGAACCAAGCAUAACCUAUUCUAAACCCAGAUUUGUCCUGCCCCGAUGCAAUAUAAGCCCAUUUGUUACUAGCUCGAUUUAGGCAUGGCCCAUUAUCAGUCCUUAACCCAGCGCAGGCCCCAAUGUAGACUAGUUCCCUGUUGGGCCAAUAUGAUUUGGCCACUCUUUUUCUUAGCCCAUGUUCUUUCAAGUCCAUUAUUAUUUUUAUGUUUACUUUAUUUUUAUUUUUUGAUUUUAAUUUAAUUUUUAUUAUAUUUUUUACCUUUAUUUUAGUCUUAUUGUAAUGUUUUGUGGUGACUAUGAUAUGAUUUUAUUUAUUUAUUUUGGAUAUAUUAUUAAUAUGGAUGACAAUGAGAUGGAUUCAGGAUGGAUCACCUCUGUCCCAAUCUUGUUCUAUUUAUUCAAAAUAAUUAUCAUCUUUGUCCCAUUAAAAAAAAAUUAAACGGGGUGAGAUAGGGUAGAUAUGCAAAUUUCUCAUACCCAUCCCAUCCUAUUUUGUUUAAUUUUUUUUGAAAGACUUUUCUUUAAAAAAAACAUUUGAAAAUUUUUAAUUAUAUUAAAGUAAAUAUGUUUUAUAAAUAAUUAAAAUAUUAUAAUUUUUUUUAUUGAAAAGUAAUUUAUUAUUAUUAUUAUAUAUGUUAAAAAUUAAAAAUUGUUGAAAUUAUUUUUCAUAAUUAAUUUUAUAUAUAAUUGGGGUGAGAAUGAAGUAGGACAAUAUAAUAUUUAAAUCUACCCCAAGUUUUUAAAAAACCUUAUAUCUGCUCUUAAUCUGUUUAUUUAAAUUUUGAACUCACUCAUUAGAGACAAGAAAUACUUGGAAAAACUGUUCCAUUUCUACCUUAAUUAUAAAGCUUGUGGACAAUUUUGAAAACAUUUGAAAACAUAUGACUCAUGUUUUCAAAUGCCAUUUGAAUGCUAACUUCACAUUGUCACAUGAAUGUAUAUUUGGAGGCAUGGAUGAUUUUGGAUGGAUCUGGGAACGACGUACCUCUAGUUAUAGUGGUAAUAUAAUUAGGGGUGACAGAAUUUGUUACGAUAUGUUAAUAUAAUUCAAACUUAACAUAUAUUUCAUGAGUUUAGAUAAAAUACACUCAAAUUUGAAUCAAUUUAUAUAACUUAUUUAAUAAAUAAUUAGUUUUUGAAUCAAUAUGCAUAACAUAAAUAUAAUUUGAAUGAACCUAAUUAAUAAUCUUACUAAUUAACUUUAAAUUAUUUAAUUUAUAUUUAACUCAUUUUAAAUAAAUAGAUUAAUUAUGAAGUUAAAACGUUAAUGAUAUAGAUUUAUACAGGACUAUAUGAGAAUGAGAGAGGUGAGGGGGGAAGUCGUCGGAAGUGGCUGCCGCCGGUGGCGGCCACCGGCUGGCAGUGGUGGUGGCCGCAAGUGAAAGUGAGGGUGGAUGGGUGUGGAAAAGAAAAAGGGGAAGAAAGAAAGAAAAGAAUAAAAAAAAACUGGUAAAAAAGAAAAGGGAGAAAGAGAAGAAGGAGGAGAGAGAGAGCGAAUGGGGACGGCUGGAGAUGGGUUUUGGGUGAUAGGCAUAGGCGGAGAGAACUGAGAAGAGGGAAAAAGAAAAGAAAAGAGAAGAGAGAAAAAGGAAAAGGGGAGAAGAGAAAAAAAGGGGGGACGUGGGAACGGGGCCAGAGUCGGAUUUGAAUGAAUGAAAUAAAAAAAAAAAGAAAAAAAAAAAAGGAAAAAACAAGAAAAAGAAAAAAAAUUAAAAAAACAAAAAAAGAUAAAAUAAAUAAUAAUAAAAUAAAAAGUGAGAAUAAUUUGAAAUAAAUUUUGGGAUUUACAAUCAUUUUAACAAAUUUAUUUAUUUAUAUAUUUAUGUAAAUGAAAUUAGAAUAUCACUAUCUAACUUGUCCAUUUACCAAGUUCAUCAUGCUUUCUAGAUUAAUACAUGUAUAUUAUAUACUAUUAUGAUAUGGUAUCCAUUAGUUAAUUAAUAAAUUAUUUGUUUUUUUGUCAACAUAUUAAUAUAGAUCGAGAUUAGUUUGGGCUUAGUAAUAGCUUGACCAUGGACUGAGUUAUGAUUUUAAUUUUAUUAUUUUAUUUUUAAAAAUUUAAAAAUAAGAUAAAUAAUAAGCCUCCAUGUUUUUCUAAAAAAUAAAAUAAAAGAACCUUUUAAGGGUAUGUUUGGUAUAUGAAAGUUCAAAGAAAAAAAGAGAAACUUUUAAAAUAUAUAUAUAUAUUUAAGAAAAAAAUAUAAUAUUUUUAUUUACUUAUACAAAAUAUAAUAAAUAAUGUUGUUUUUAGGGUGUUAAGAGAAUGUUAUUAAUUAAACCUAAAUUCUAUAAAUUUAAACUUUCCAAAAAUUCUUUUGUUCUAUAACUCUUGUACCUAAACUUUUAGGAAGAUUAAGAAAAUUUUAAAAAUAAUUUUGAAGUACAUGGGUUAAAUCUAUAGUUUUUAAUACAAGAGUAAAUAUAUAAAAUAUUAUUAUGAUUUUAUAUUUGUAAAGAAAAUAAGUGAGACUAAUUGGCAUCCAUUGAAAAUCAUUGGCCCAUUUUAGGUUUGAAACUCCGAGCCUUCUUAGUCCCGCACCCGGCACCGCUCAGGCACCACUAGAGCGAAAUUGAUAUUUAAAAGGAAAGAGAAGGUCAACUCUUUAUAAUUCUUCAUACUAUAUUCUCCAUAAUAUUCUCUUUCACUUUAUCCAUACAUUCAUCGAGGAUGAAAGCUUAUUCAAUAUAUUAUUACAACUGAUAUAGAUAGACUAACACCCAGUUCACACACUGCUCUUAAUGGAAGAGCUGUAUCCACUCUGAUCAUCAUAGUACUUUGACCACAGCAUCACGCCUCCAUACUUGGCUGAUCUCUUAAUGACCGGAAGAAUUUGAGAGGUCAACACAUUGGCCGGAAUAAACCCACUUCCGGCAGCUGCAGAGGAUGCCGGCAGGCCCAUGAAGAUCCGUGAAUUUAUCGAUGAAGUCCACCGGUUCCAUGAAUUCAGAAGGUUAUUGGUGUUGCCAGAAGAAUACUGGCAUGGGGCAUUGUUAUAGAAUUGCACCCAGACAUAGUCAAAAAGGCCUGUGUUAAGGGCAGUGCCCAGGAACUUAUCUGGGAAUGGACAUUGAGGGGCUGCAGUGAGGUAUACCUUCCUUCCACGCUUGCUGAAACCUGAUAAGGCUCGAGCAAGGUCAUCCCAGUGCAGGGUCGAACCGAGCUCGAUGUCGAAGUCUAUGCCAUCUAAUACUGCAUCACCUAAUGGCCGAGACGAUGAUUGUCCUCCCAAGAAGUUGUUCCACAGAUAAUUGGCUACGUUUUGGGCAUCAUUGGAAGAGGACAGAGAGUAACUUCCAACCCCACCACCUAUAGAGAGCAUGACCUUAAUGCCUCGAUUUUGGCAGUUUCUUAUGCCGGUACUGACGGAGGUGCAGCCAUUGGAAGCAGGGUUGCAAUGGCCAGCAAGGUUGAUUUCAGGGGUCUGGCCAUUACCGAACUUGUUGAGGAAGGCUAUGUUAACGUAGGAGUAUUUUCCGGUGUUGCAGGUUUGGGUUAGGGUCCCUUCAUUGCCGUUUUGGCCCCAGUAGAUGGCGAUGCCACCAGCAUAAGAGGUCUGGAGGAGGGCUAGGACUGAGAGGGAGAUGAGCAGAGGUGUGGAUUGGGGGGUUCUAGCCAUUCUUGCAGGAGGCUGUCUGGCCU